Molecule: ribosomal RNA, 253 nt
Filed under: uncultured bacterium
Lineage: Bacteria
Description: partial 16S ribosomal RNA
Rfam family: Bacterial small subunit ribosomal RNA
Source: RNAcentral
UACAGAGGGUGCGAGCGUUAAUCGGAAUUACUGGGCGUAAAGCGUGCGUAGACGGUUAUUUACGUCAGGUGUGAAAGCCCCGGGCUCAACCUGGGAAUUGCAUUUGAGACUGAAUAGCUAGGGUGCGGAAGAGGGAAGCGGAAUUUCCGGUGUAGCGGUGAAAUGCGUAGAUAUCGGAAGGAACAUCAGUGGCGAAAGCGGCUUCCUGGACCAGCACCGACGUUCAGGCACGAAAGCGUGGGGAGCAAACAGG